AGACGUCUACAUUAGAUACCCGGGUAGUCCCAGCCGUAAACAAUGUGCGUUAGGUAUGUCGGUAACCACGUGUUACUGAUGUGCCGAAGAGAAAUCGUGAAACGCACCACCUGGGAAGUACGGUCGCAAGGCUGAAACUUAAAGGAAUUGGCGGGGAGCACCACAACGGGUGGAGCCUGCGGUUUAAUUGGACUCAACGCCGGGAAGCUCACCGGAUAGGACAGCAGAAUGAUUGCCGGGCUGAAGACCCUGCAUGACUAGCUG
Molecule: ribosomal RNA, 264 nt
Filed under: uncultured archaeon
Lineage: Archaea
Description: partial 16S ribosomal RNA
Rfam family: Archaeal small subunit ribosomal RNA
Source: RNAcentral